AUUGAACGCUGGCGGCAGGCCUAACACAUGCAAGUCGAGCGGAUGAAGGGAGCUUGCUCCUGGAUUCAGCGGCGGACGGGUGAGUAAUGCCUAGGAAUCUGCCUGGUAGUGGGGGAUAACGUCCGGAAACGGGCGCUAAUACCGCCUACGUCCUGAGGGAGAAAGUGGGGGAUCUUCGGACCUCACGCUCUCAGAUGAGCCUAGGUCGGAUUAGCUAGUUGGUGGGGUAAAGGCCUACCAAGGCGAGGAUCGGUAACUGGUCUGAGAGGAUGAUCAGUCACACUGGAACUGAGACACGGUCCAUAGUCCUACGGGAGGCAGCAGUGGGGAAUAUUGGACAAUGGGCGAAAGCCUGAUCCAGCCAUGCCGCGUGUGUGCAGAAGGUCUUCGGAUUGUAAAGCACUUUAAGUUGGGAGGAAGGGCAGUAAGUUAAUACCUUGCUGUUUUGACGUUACCAACAGAAGAAGCACCGGCUAACUUCGUG
Molecule: ribosomal RNA, 484 nt
Filed under: uncultured bacterium
Lineage: Bacteria
Description: partial 16S ribosomal RNA
Rfam family: Bacterial small subunit ribosomal RNA
Source: RNAcentral